UUUGUUCACCUGUAGAGAACAAGAGGGUGCAAAGUUGGAGCUCACAAUGUGAGCGAAGGAGCAAAACUUGGCUUCAAUAAGUAAGUAGUGUUUGCUAAUCACUACCCACGCAUGCAAGGCUGUUGGAAUGGGUCUCCAGGUUCAGACAGCACCUGAAAGGAUUGGGUGAAAAGUGAGUGAUGAGACACCUGUGGAGACAAGGAGGUCAGCAAAUGCUAGAGAUGGAGACACCUGCUCCAAAUCACCACCACCAUGACACACAUACGGGGGAAACCUGCACCUAUACCAGUUCCGGGCUUGGAAUUAUGUUGCAGGACCAACAUUGCUGUGCACACUUUUGGGAACCUACACAGUCGAUGAAUGUGGCUUCUAACCAUAGCACUAAACUUGUUCUUGCCCAGCUAUUCUUCACAGAGCACCACAAAGGCCCUUCCAACCCGUUCACCACUGAGCUCACAGCAACCAGCCAGCGGGUGCCACCGGGGACACGAUGUAAGCAGUGAGCAAGCGUCCUUCUAUCACAAGCAUCAGUGCGACUCUUUGGCUACUGAAGGGACUAAAGGACAGGUUCAGCAUGCAGAGCAGCGUCUAUGGCUUGAGGUGGCCUCCUUUCACUAAGGAACUGAACCACAAGGCAGGCAAAAUGGUGCUUUCAACACAGAGACAAAGCUUGCAAAGGGAACAGAAAGGAAGAAGGGCCUCUGCACGUGGUCAGCCUUCCCUGCUAAUGACUACUGCUUGGACCACUCUGAGAAGCUAUGGAAAUGUGUUCCUGCUACCCCUUUUGGAUGUGGCAGACCAAACCCUAAACAGCAGCUUUCCUGUGAGAAGCCAGGUGCUGAAACUGGCUUCUGACAGACAGGACACAGGGAUCCAUGGGAUUUUCAAAUGAAAAGCAUUUCUAAGUGAAGGAGGUGAUUCCAAAUGGUUGGCCCAGAAUGAUGGAUGAUUUCCUGACACUCAGGUUGUUGCUGUUUGUGUCACUGAAGUGUUCUUGCCAUACGACAUUUACUUUUGAGAAGCUUACAUGUCAGCACUCGCAGCCAUUUGCUUGUUUAUUCACUGGCAUCAUGAGCAAAGCAGAUACAGAACCACCACACCCUCCAGGCAUCUAUUGGGUGAGCGUUUUCAGUGGAGUUUGUUUGGUCUGCGCCUUUGGAUGAAGCCCAGCGCCCAGGUUCCAGUUCCACAGCGCACAGUCCUGAGCUGGCCCCUUGGAGAUCUUGAAUUAGGGGCAGCAGUCACCCUGAGGACCCCAUGCUGUAAAAGCCCGCUAGUGGCGACUCCCAGUGGUACCCGUAAGCAAGCAAGAACAGGUAAACUGGGGCUUCUAGGUGGGAGUAGAGAACCCGAAAUUACAACCUCAUCUUGGUCUUUUGAUUGCGGCCCUGCCGGCUUACGCGCACACUGCUUGCACACAGACCUCUGUACCCGCACGGGUGUGAGUACACAUUAAAUACUGCUAUUUACUGAGUGCUUUUCCCAUAAUUAUCUCGUGAGUCCCUCCCACAACCCCACUAGCAUGCGUUGUAUGAUUAUAUAAUUUACACAUUUGUGAAUAUUACGAUCACUUUGCAGACGUGGAAGUGAAGUCCAGAGCCCUGACAGUACCGCCAGGCCCCGCAACUGAGCUGGCCGGCGCAAGACUCACCGUGAAGACCUUCUCGGGCUGUCCCCGUGCGCGCAUGUUGGUGUCGUGGAUCAGCUUCAGGAUCAUCCAGGCUUCGUCGUGCUUUCCAACCUAAAGACAUGUUGGGCAGACAGUGAGGCCCCGUUUGCUAGUGACGCCUGCUUGUCCGCAGUCACCUCCUCGCGUCGUCCACACCCGUGCAGUGCGGCUGUGCAGCGGCCUCAGCUGCCUCCCUUGGGGACACACGGGCAGCACUGACUACGUGAGCAGUGCAAGCGACAAGUCUCUUGCCACGAGCAGAACCUGUGGCUGGAAACUCUCAGUUUUGAAGCAAGAAGCCACACUCUUUGAGCGAAAAGUUACUUGACUAAGGAGGGAUUUAUUUCUGGCCAGCAGGCAGCUGGAAGCGCACUGCUUAGAGCACAGCUGCGUGAAGCCAAGGCUUUCACCGUUCCACAGCGGGAAGGAGAUUCUCCUCUCCCAGGAGGAAACCUGGCUCCUAGCACCAGCCGGCUACCUUUCCCAACGUUCGUGGCUGGGCGAGGCUCUGUAGGACCAACUUACCUCCAGCAAGAACCUCGGGCUCUCGGGCAUGAACGUGAGCGCCACCACCGAGGAGAUGCAGGGCAGUGCGCAGACAAUGACGAAAACGCGCCAGCUGUGGAACUGGUAGGCCGAGCCCAUGCUGAAGCUCCACCCUGGGAAAGGAGGACGGGGAGAGUGAGGCAGGCGCCCCCAGAUGGCCCGUGGGGAAAAGCACUUGUGGGUGUCUGCACCUGCACCUUUUUAGUCAAGGCUAACUAUCGCAAAGUCAUUGAUCAGCCUCAGUACUAGUGCCAGGAAGGAUCAAAGCCUAGGUGGGGUGUGCAUGUGGGCUUAGGUGAAACCAAGUCCCCAAAUUACAGUGGGAGAGCGCUUUCUCCAAGGGCACCCACUGUGCUGCCUACUCCUACACAUCACACUUUAGGUCAAGAGAAUGUUCACCUUGCACAGGCAAAGAUUUAAUAUCUCAAUAUUAGGAAAAUAGGACAUUUUAGACAUAAAAGAAUAAAAACAACCACAACAGGUUGCAAAUAAAAAUUUUUUGAAGAAAAGGUGGCCAGGAUUUGAAUGAAUAUAAAAUGGUCUAAAGCAAAAUCCAAAUGUGGUUCUGAAUGAGAAAUAAUGAUGCAUGUCAAAUCUAAUUGGAAACAGAAGAGAUUUAUAGAGGUAUAGAUGAAUUAUAGGAAAUGAAAUUUUAUUUGCGAGCAAAGCUUGACAUUUAUAGAGCUUUCUGGGAAGAAAAUUCAGGUAGUCUGCAUGCACCACAUCCCCUGGAGAGCUGUAAGAUGAUUUGUCGCUUGCAUGACCAAGAGAGCAAGCAUCUGGAGGAGACAUGAGUCCUCAAGGCCAAGAGCAGAAGUCCCCUCCCAUUAUCCCUUUCUGCUUGGUGUGCAGGUAGGCACACACGUACGUGUAUACACACGCGUGUGGUGGUCUCCCUGUACACAGAGGGUGCAUUAUCUACUCACUGCUCUCUCCACUCAUCUGCAUCUAUUUUCUUUCAGUCUCCAAAACUACUUUCUACCUUUUGUCCUUCUCCAAGUUUCCAGCAGCCAGUUCCACUCUUUGUCCUUGACCUUACUGGCUGUUUCUCCGAGAAAAUCAACACAGGAAGAAUCACAUGCAUCUCAUCUGCUUACCCUGAAAGGACUGUACCCCUAUUCCUGCCUUCCUUUUGAGUAUGGCAGGUGACUUCCAUGGGUCAGCCUGAGGCUGUUGGGUCUACUCUGCUCUUUUGGGGACAACAUUCCUGUAAUCUCAGCAUUCUGGGAAGGCUGAGGCAGGAGAACCACAAGCUUGAGGCCAACCUGGCUAACUUAAUGACUUAGCAAGACUCUCCCUCUCUCAAAAAAAAAAAAAAAAAAAAAAAAAAAAAAAAAAAAAAAAUCAAAAAGGCUGAGGAUGUAGCUCAGUCCAGAGGCCCUGGGUUCCAUUCCCACUAACACAUACAAUAUGCACAUACCUUACCCUUUGUAAUUGGUGGAAUCUCAACAUGAUUUUUUCAUGAAUUUUCCUAAUGUUUCAUGAAACCUUCGAUAGCUUCUUGUCCAUUCUUUUGUAAUCUUAUUGAACAUCUGUAUGCAUCAGUCACAAUGAUAUGGGAGAAAUCAGUGUCACUCCCAACCUACUAGAUGUCAGGCAUGCCGAGUUUGCGCCCCCACACUGUGAAGAGUAUAUACAGUGAGAUCUUUGUCUAAAGUCAGCCUGGAGGCCUCUGGUACCAGGAGAGCCCCUACAGCCACAGCUGUAAGGCGUGCAGGCCAUCCCUUUGCUGCUGUCUAAUCCAUGACUCAGGUACCCUGCAGACUGCUGAGCAGGUCCCGGAUGCUGUAAAAGCACUCCCAGGGCCAUACCCUGCCUUUUAGUGCUGGGUAUUCAGAAGCACUUGUUCAAGAUUCUGUAGUACCAUUUGGGAAUCAGGUUCCCAGGGUAAAAUUACAACCAUGGCUGAAGGUGCACAGGUUGAAGGCCAGGCCUCAAGAUAAAGACAGAAUGACCAAGCCCACAUACCUCCCCAGGGGAUAAGCAGGGUCUUCUAAUUGGUAUCACCUGAUCCCAUAAAAUCUAGACAGACACCAGUCACCCAACUGGGUGACAGGAUCUUCUGAUCCAUCCCUUCCUAAAAAGGUCUUUGUUCUUUCCAUGUACACUCUACUCACCUCUACAGAGAUAUUGUCCUUGAGGAUCUUGAACAAAGUUAGAUAGGGAUGGUGUCAGCCCAGUAGAGGCUUCAUUUAAGGUUGAAUUGGAAGCCUCAGCCUUGAGAGUCCAGAGGGCAGAGGGAGCCUCAGGCUCAGUAACAGCAAAUGCGUCUGAUUAAUGGCCAGAGGUGUCUGUUUUCCUUGUGGGUUGUAUUUAUAUGUUGAACACAAGAAAGGAUUCUCUCAUCAUGCAAAAAAAGUCUUAAAAUAAGGUAACUCAUUUUCCCUCUCUCUUACAGUAAGAUUUUAAUUAUAAAAUAGUAUCAAUACUGCUCGCCAUAUUACAUUUUGUUUCUAGGGCGUAGGCAGACCACUUGGGGGCACAGAAAAAUAUUAGACAGCUCUUUUUCAAUAUGUGAAGUUAAAUAGUUUUUAUGCUUGAGAAUACAUUCUAAAGGAAUAAGAGAAUUUGACACUGAGUUUUCCAAAAACAACUAGGAGGAAACUAGACAUUCCUUAGAAUUCCUUGUUUUCAUGUGCCCUCAAAGUGUCCCUGAAGUGACCUGCUCCACAGCACGUGGCUGCUAUCUGAACAGUGGCCAGAAGGCAGGUUCGGUCGGAAAGCUCACCCUGAUGGACGCACACUCUUGUCUUCUCGGGAAACACACCCUGACUCCAGCAUGUGUUUCCAAAAGUGCAAGCUAAAACUGAUUCAGCUGUAACAGUCAUGUGUAAAGAAGGAGGCAUGGCUAGCGAGAUUAAAAUAAUAAUCCGGAGACUUAAUCAACUGCUUUUCAAUGCUUUGAAAGAGAGUGAGAGGGGAAAAAUUCAAAGAGCAAAUUGGAAGUGGCUGGAGCACUUUGCAGCCUGUCAGAGAUCACCUUGGAUAGAGAAUUGGAAGUCUUUAAUUUUUUGAGACCCAUACAUUCAUGAGAGAAGAGAGAGGAAAAAACCCUGGAAUUAUAAUUGUUAGAUUUCUGUGAUCCAGCAUGAAUAUUCUAAUGGAACUGGUGCCAGUUAAUCCUGACAUGCUAACUUCAUUGCAUUAAGAGAUGCACCCCGUCCCUUGCCUGUGGAUUCUGACCCAGAACAAAACACCUCACACCUGAUCGUGACGCAGCUGCUCCACUCAUGACCAGGCUCACAGCCACUCUUAGAGUUUUGUCCUUUACAUCACAGAAAUUCCAUCCAACAAGUGGGAAAACUACAGCCACAAAGACCUAGGUGCUGUCACCGCCAGUCCCGUGCCUGAAGCGAGGGGACGUCAUACCUCCCUCUGAGUCCAGCUGACUAACGCAUGGCUCUGGAAAGGAUCUAAGUUGCGAAAGAUGGCCUUGAACUUGCCACCCUCCUCCCUCAGCCUCUCAAAUAGCUGGAAUUUACAGGUAUGCACCACCAUCUGGGCAUGGAGUUUUAAAGCAGCUGAUUUCUAACUUAAUUUCCCUGUGAUAAGAGCACAUGCUUGGUAACCGUCUGAACUGUCUUGGGACUUGCUUUGUGCCAUAGCUCCACGUGCCCCAUGUUUGGAAUUGUUCCACAACUAAUAAUAAAGGUGAGGGCUGGGCCUAUGUCUCCCCCAGCAGGCCAA
This is a long non-coding RNA of Cavia porcellus (domestic guinea pig), 5902 nucleotides long. RefSeq lists it as uncharacterized. The transcript has 6 exons. NCBI's taxonomy places the organism in Eukaryota, Metazoa, Chordata, Mammalia, Rodentia, Caviidae. The record is from RefSeq and is a predicted model, not a curated record.